This 779-nucleotide ribosomal RNA is filed under the name Gerbelius ornatus. RNAcentral describes it as "SSU rRNA". It matches the Rfam family "Eukaryotic small subunit ribosomal RNA", at positions 477 to 1170 of the family's 1831-position model. RNAcentral also lists the same sequence under 1 other name. The record is from RNAcentral. Lineage: Eukaryota; Metazoa; Arthropoda; Insecta; Hemiptera; Reduviidae.
AACGAUACGGGACUCUAUUGAGGCCCCGUAAUCGGAAUGAGUACACUUUAAAUCCUUUAACAAGGAUCCAUUGGAGGGCAAGUCUGGUGCCAGCAGCCGCGGUAAUUCCAGCUCCAAUAGCGUAUAUUAAAGUUGUUGCGGUUAAAAAGCUCGUAGUUGGUUCUGCGUGCCGCGCUGUCGGUUCGCCGCCUGUCGGUGUAACUGGCAUGUCGCGGCAUGUCCUGUCGGUGGUGAGCGGGGUCAGUGGUGAUGCGUAGGCUUUUAUAGUCCAAGCAUUGCCAGUCUGUUUUCCCGUUUACCGAUCUCUCCUACUCCGGUGCUCUUAAACGAGUGUCGAGGUAGGCCGACACGUUCACUUUGAACAAAUUAGAGUGCUUAAAGCAGGCUGAAAUAUCUGCCUGAAUAGUGGUGCAUGGAAUGAUAAAACAGGACCUCAGUUCUAUUUUGUUGGUUUUAGGAAUAUGAGGUAAUGAUCAAUGUGGACUGGCGGGGGCAUUCGUAUUGCGACGUUAGAGGUGAAAUUCUUGGAUCGUCGCAAGACGCACUAGAGCGAAAGCAUUUGCCAAGUAUGUCUUAAUUGAUCAAGAACGAAAGUUAGAGGUUCGAAGGCGAUCAGAUACCGCCCUAGUUCUAACCAUAAACGAUGCCAGCCAGCGAUCCGCCGAUGUUCCUCUAAUGACUCGGCGGGGAGCUUCUACUCGGGAAACCAAAGCUUUUGGGUUCCGGGGGAAGUAUGGUUGCAAAGCUGAAACUUAAAGGAAUUGACGGAAGGGCACCAC